RNAcentral lists this ribosomal RNA (426 nucleotides) under uncultured bacterium. RNAcentral's name for it is "bacterial SSU rRNA". It matches the Rfam family "Bacterial small subunit ribosomal RNA", at positions 354 to 796 of the family's 1533-position model. The record is from RNAcentral.
GUGAGGGAUUUUGCGCAAUGGACGAAAGUCUGACGCAGCGACGCCGCGUGGGUGAUGAAGGUCUUCGGAUUGUAAAGCCCUGUCAGGGGGGAAGAGAAAGGACGGUACCCCCAGAGGAAGCCUCGGCUAACUACGUGCCAGCAGCCGCGGUAAGACGUAGGGGGCAAGCGUUGUCCGGAAUUACUGGGCGUAAAGAGCUCGUAGGUGGGGCUAUAAGUCGACGAGUAAAUGCCUCGGCUCAACUGGGGUCUCAUCGUUGAUACUGUAGCUCUUGAGGACAGGAGAGGAAAGCGGAAUUCCCGGUGUAGCGGUGAAAUGCGUAGAGAUCGGGAGGAACACCAGUGGCGAAGGCGGCUUUCUGGCCUGAUUCUGACACUGAGGAGCGAAAGCCAGGGUAGCGAACGGGAUUAGAAACCCGGGUAGUCC